This 253-nucleotide ribosomal RNA is filed under the name uncultured bacterium. Its description in RNAcentral is "partial 16S ribosomal RNA". It matches the Rfam family "Bacterial small subunit ribosomal RNA", at positions 524 to 776 of the family's 1533-position model. The record is from RNAcentral.
UACAGAGGUCCCAAGCGUUGUUCGGAUUCACUGGGCGUAAAGGGUGCGUAGGUGGCCAGGUAAGUUUGGUGUGAAAGCUCGGAGCUUAACUCCGAAAAGUCAUUGAAUACUAUCUGGCUGGAGGGUCGGAGGGGAGACUGGAAUUCUCGGUGUAGCAGUGAAAUGCGUAGAUAUCGAGAGGAACACCAGAGGCGCAGGCGGCUUGCUGGGUCUGUAUUGACGCUCAGACACGAAAGCAUGGGGAGCGAACGGG